CCUACGGGAGGCUGCAGUGGGGAAUAUUGGGCAAUGGGCGCAAGCCUGACCCAGCAACGCCGCGUGAAGGAAGAAGGCUUUCGGGUUGUAAACUUCUUUUCAGGGGGACGAACAAAUGCCGGUACCCCUUGACUAAGCACCGGCUAACUACGUGCCAGCAGCCGCGGUAAUACGUAGGUGGCAAGCGUUAGCCGGCUUUAUUGGGUGUAAAGGGCGUGUAGGGGGGAGCGAAAGUCAGCUGUGAAAACUCAGGGCUGAACCCUGAGCCUGCAUUUGAAACUGUGUUUCUUGAGUGAUGGAGAGGCAAGCGGAAGUCCGUGUGUAGCGGUGAAAUGCGUAGAUAUACGGAGGAACACCAGUGGCGAAGGCGGAUUGCUGGACAGUAACUGACGCUGAGGCGCGAAAGCGUGGGGAGCAAACAGGAUUAGAUACCCCUGUAGUC
Molecule: ribosomal RNA, 442 nt
Filed under: uncultured bacterium
Lineage: Bacteria
Description: partial 16S ribosomal RNA
Rfam family: Bacterial small subunit ribosomal RNA
Source: RNAcentral